Cebus imitator (Panamanian white-faced capuchin) is the source of this 326-nucleotide long non-coding RNA. RefSeq lists it as uncharacterized. The record is from RefSeq and is a predicted model, not a curated record. The transcript has 3 exons. Lineage: Eukaryota; Metazoa; Chordata; Mammalia; Primates; Cebidae.
UCGGGACCAGCUGCCUCUGCCUGCGUCAACACCCCACUUCCCUGCUGCCAUCUGCUCCUCCACUGCGAACAAUGAAAAGACGAGCUGCUGAGCUCCAGGUGGAUACAGUGGGGACUGUGGACCAUUUCACAGCUAAGAAGCCAAAGGCUCAGAAGAGGGAGCGGCUUCCCCAAGUUCACCAAGCAGAGCCCACCUGCUGACUCCCCCACCCUGCUCCCUGCCCCAGCUGACCCAACACACAUGCCUUGAGAUGAGUCACCCACAGCCCACUGAAGACCAAACGGUGGCAGAGAAGACGACGUAACUCCAUGAGGCUGAAGGACUCA